UUCCAGCUGCCUUGGGGUGAGCCAAGCUCUGACAGGAAGGGCUUGCUGUGGAGGAAACCAGAGAAGUCAGAACAAAAAGGUGCCUUCAGGACCCUCUGGAAAAAGCCAAGGUGCUUUGGAAUAUGACAGACACAUCAGGACACAUCAAAUAUGUCACCGGCCAUGCUCAGUGUCCAGCAGAGGGGUUACCUGCAUUUUCUGGAAGUCACUCUGGGUGAAAAAGGGCAUGAAGCCUUGGGUCUGCUCAGCCAGCACGGACAGCAGGGACACCAGCAGCAAAGUGGCCACCACCUUCCUCGAAACCAUCCUGAG
Passer montanus (Eurasian tree sparrow) is the source of this 312-nucleotide long non-coding RNA. RefSeq lists it as uncharacterized. The transcript is spliced from 3 exons. Lineage: Eukaryota; Metazoa; Chordata; Aves; Passeriformes; Passeridae. The record is from RefSeq and is a predicted model, not a curated record.